Molecule: ribosomal RNA, 517 nt
Filed under: uncultured fungus
Lineage: Eukaryota; Fungi
Description: SSU rRNA
Rfam family: Eukaryotic small subunit ribosomal RNA
Source: RNAcentral
AGCAGCCGCGGUAAUUCCAGCUCCAAUAGCGUAUAUUAAAGUUGUUGCAGUUAAAAAGCUCGUAGUUGAAUUUCGGGGUCAGUAGGCUGGUCGUGCCACAGGUAUGCACUGGUCUUACUGAUUCCUCCUUCCUGAUGAACCGUAAUGCCAUUAAUUUGGUGUUGCGGGGAAUCUGGACUGUUACUUUGAAAAAAUUAGAGUGUUUAAAGCAGGCUAACGCUUGAAUACAUUAGCAUGGAAUAAUGAAAUAGGACGAUCGAUCCUAUUUUGUUGGUUUCUAGGAUUGACGUAAUGAUUAAUAGGGAUAGUUGGGGGCAUUAGUAUUCAAUUGUCAGAGGUGAAAUUCUUGGAUUUAUUGAAGACUAACUACUGCGAAAGCAUUUGCCAAGGAUGUUUUCAUUAAUCAAGAACGAAAGUUAGGGGAUCGAAGACGAUCAGAUACCGUCGUAGUCUUAACCAUAAACUAUGCCGACUAGGGAUCGGAUGAUGUUAAUUUUUUAAUGUACUCAUUUCGGCG